RNAcentral lists this ribosomal RNA (468 nucleotides) under uncultured bacterium. RNAcentral's name for it is "partial 16S ribosomal RNA". It matches the Rfam family "Bacterial small subunit ribosomal RNA", at positions 28 to 507 of the family's 1533-position model. The record is from RNAcentral.
GACGAACGCUGGCGGCGUGCUUAACACAUGCAAGUCGAACGGAAAGGCCCUGCUUUUGUGGUGUGCUCGAGUGGCGAACGGGUGAGUAACACGUGAGUAACCUGCCCUUGACUUUGGGAUAACUUCAGGAAACUGGGGCUAAUACCGGAUAGGAGCUCCUGCUGCAUGGUGGGGGUUGGAAAGUUUCGGCGGUUGGGGAUGGACUCGCGGCUUAUCAGCUUGUUGGUGGGGUAGUGGCUUACCAAGGCUUUGACGGGUAGCCGGCCUGAGAGGGUGACCGGCCACAUUGGGACUGAGAUACGGCCCAGACUCCGACGGGAGGCAGCAGUGGGGAAUAUUGCACAAUGGGCGGAAGCCUGAUGCAGCAACGCCGCGUGCGGGAUGACGGCCUUCGGGUUGUAAACCGCUUUCGCCUGUGACGAAGCGUGAGUGACGGUAAUGGGUAAAGAAGCACCGGCUAACUACGUG